UCCUUGUUCGUCUAACGGUCAAGAUACGGCUUUUUCAAGACGGUGAAUUAAUAUAUCACUCUAAAGCAGCUGAGAUCGGGGUUCGAUUCCCCGGCAGGGAA
Molecule: non-coding RNA, 101 nt
Organism: Melanopsichium pennsylvanicum
Lineage: Eukaryota; Fungi; Basidiomycota; Ustilaginomycetes; Ustilaginales
Source: the annotation of a GenBank genome assembly